UACGGAGGGGGCUAGCGUUGUUCGGAAUUAUUGGGCGUAAAGCGCGCGCAGGUGGUUCCUUAAGUCUGAUGUGAAAGCCCACGGCUCAACCGUGGAGGGUCAUUGGAAACUGGGGAACUGGAGUGCAGAAGAGGAAAGUGGAAUUCCAAGUGUAGCGGUGAAAUGCGUAGAGAUUUGGAGGAACACCAGUGGCGAAGGCGACUUUCUGGUCUGUAACUGACACUGAGGCGCGAAAGCGUGGGGAGCGAACCGG
Molecule: ribosomal RNA, 253 nt
Filed under: uncultured bacterium
Lineage: Bacteria
Description: partial 16S ribosomal RNA
Rfam family: Bacterial small subunit ribosomal RNA
Source: RNAcentral